Molecule: long non-coding RNA, 1720 nt
Organism: Xenia sp. Carnegie-2017
Lineage: Eukaryota; Metazoa; Cnidaria; Anthozoa; Malacalcyonacea; Xeniidae
Exons: 6
Source: RefSeq, a predicted model, not a curated record
UCUGUGUUUUGAGCUGAUAACAACAGCCGCCGAUGAAACGUCGUUGUCUGUGGACAAGGUCAAGAAAUGGAUUGGCAACAAAGUUGCUUCUGUCAAAAGAAAAUGUCAAUCUAAUAAUUCAGAGUCACCCCUACCCUCAUGUAAUCCACCAAAAGUCCCCAAACCACCACCCAGAUUACGGCGGUCAAGCGGACAUAAUCAAUUUUGCUCAGAAUUUUCUAAAUCAGAUGAAGUAAAGGGACUGUCUCACCUGAGUGAAAACAAUAAAUUGGCUUCUGUCAAAUGGAUUGGUCUUUGAGAAUCUGAGCAAAAUAAAUACAUACAGAAAGCUAAUGACAUGAAAAACAACCCAGUGACAUUAGAUGAUGCUCAAAGAACAAAUAUGGUUGAUCAGCAUAUGAAAUUUUUAGCUGAGAAGUUCAAUUACUUGGAGUAUCUUGGUUGCCAGGCCAGCUGCUUACUAGUGAAUGGAAAAAAAUAACUUUAUGUCCUUGGUUCAUCAGGAGGAAAAAGAUUUGUUCACAAUAAACCAGCAGUUUUGCGCAAGUUUCAAGCAAUGUUUGAUGUAGACCGAGAAAAACAGAAAUGGACUCAUGAAGAUGUAAGAAUGCUCUUUAACAAGAAGUAUAGUGAAGCAAAAGGUGUGACUGGUUCUCGCGUUCCAUAUCUUUCUGGUGGUUUUCAUGUUGAAGGACUACCAGAUGACAUUCGCCUAAAGAAGCCACGGCAAUAUAGCUCAAAGGAAAUACAGAAAAUCAUGGACUGCCAGGACAGUAUUUCCUUCAUUCUUGAAGCGUCAGAAGGUGCACCUUUGCAAGAUUUUGGUGAAGACUGCAAGGAAUUACUUAGUAAUGUAUUCGGAAAAUGUGACUUUAAAGUAUCAAAAGAAGAUGUGGAGGUAUUGGAUAUUAAUACCUCAUAAAAUUUCUGAAACCGAAGAAAUAAUAUCAACUCACUGGAAAGUGUUAUGUCCAGAAGCUUUGAGAGAGUUAAAAAAAAAUUGAAUGCAUAUGUGUCUCAGGCAAAUCAUUUCGUUUUGCCUGCGUACUGUGAUUAUGAAGAAAGUCAGUUCUGGCUUUUUUCAUUUACGGGAUCUCUACAAGCUCUGCAGCAGAUAAGAGCAAGAGGUAAAUUGACAGGAUGUUGGCUAAAUCAUGAGUCAGGCAAUACCUUCCAUCUUAUUAAGAAAAAAGAAACAAUCUUUGGAAAAAAUACUAUUAAGGACAAUGGCAAUGUAAUUUUUGAGACUCAUAGGUUUACUGAUUAUUCCCAAACCUUCAUAUUGAACAAGUCCUUUGAAAGGAAAAUUACUCAAAUUUUAUCACAACAGGGAUAUAUAUAGUUUUCAAUUUUCCACCAAUUAAAAAAAAUUUCAUUGUUUACAAUGGUAACAGGUAGCACUGCAAAAUGUGCAUUGUAAUCAACUCAGUUUUUAGUUUUAGUUGGAUUGAACAUGGUUUUUUAAAAGAUAAUAUUUUUCUAUUCACAUGUAAGCCAUGCAGAAUGUCUAAUUCUAUAAUUAAAAUUUCAAAAUUAAAGCCCAAAAGUAAAAACUACAUUUUAUAGAAAAAUAUUUUUUUUAAGGGGGGGGGUUCUACCUUUCACCAACACAAAGACAUGCACAAUUCACUGAAUAGGCAAAUAAGAUAUCAUAUUUGUAAAAUUAACUGUAAUAAUUCAGAUACUUUUGCAUUAGCAAAAAAAAUGUAUGUUUGUACAA